RNAcentral lists this ribosomal RNA (430 nucleotides) under Bacillota bacterium. RNAcentral describes it as "Firmicutes bacterium partial 16S ribosomal RNA". It matches the Rfam family "Bacterial small subunit ribosomal RNA", at positions 355 to 776 of the family's 1533-position model. Lineage: Bacteria; Bacillati; Bacillota. The record is from RNAcentral.
UGGGGAAUAUUGGACAAUGGGCGGAAGCCUGAUCCAGCCAUGCCGCGUGUGUGAAGAAGGCCUUUUGGUUGUAAAGCACUUUAAGCGAGGAGGAGGCUACUUGGAUUAAUACUCUAGGAUAGUGGACGUUACUCGCAGAAUAAGCACCGGCUAACUCUGUGCCAGCAGCCGCGGUAAUACAGAGGGUGCGAGCGUUAAUCGGAUUUACUGGGCGUAAAGCGUGCGUAGGCGGCUUUUUAAGUCGGAUGUGAAAUCCCUGAGCUUAACUUAGGAAUUGCAUUCGAUACUGGGAAGCUAGAGUAUGGGAGAGGAUGGUAGAAUUCCAGGUGUAGCGGUGAAAUGCGUAGAGAUCGGGAGGAAUACCGAUGGCGAAGGCAGCCAUCUGGCCUAAUACUGACGCUGAGGUACGAAAGCAUGGGGAGCAAACAGG